Perognathus longimembris pacificus (Pacific pocket mouse) is the source of this 165-nucleotide small nuclear RNA. RefSeq annotates it as U1 spliceosomal RNA. NCBI's taxonomy places the organism in Eukaryota, Metazoa, Chordata, Mammalia, Rodentia, Heteromyidae. The transcript has a single exon. The record is from RefSeq and is a predicted model, not a curated record.
AUACUGACCUGGCAGGAAAGAUACCAUGCUCAUGGAAGGUGGUUUCCUUAGGUUGGAGCUUAUCCAGUGUACUCCAUAUGUUCUAACCCCUGUAAUUUCUCCCAAUAUGGAAAACUGCUCUGUAUAAUUGGUGGUAGUGGGAGAUGGAGUUUACACUUUCCCUAA